GACGAACGCUGGCGGCGUGCUUAACACAUGCAAGUCGAACGGAAAGGCCCUACUUGCAGGGUACUCGAGUGGCGAACGGGUGAGUAACACGUGGGUGAUCUGCCCUGCACUUCGGGAUAAGCCUGGGAAACUGGGUCUAAUACCGGAUAGGAGCCAUUUUUAGUGUGAUGGUUGGAAAGUUUUUUCGGUGUAGGAUGAGCUCGCGGCCUAUCAGCUUGUUGGUGGGGUAAUGGCCUACCAAGGCGGCGACGGGUAGCCGGCCUGAGAGGGUGGACGGCCACAUUGGGACUGAGAUACGGCCCAGACUCCUACGGGAGGCAGCAGUGGGGAAUAUUGCACAAUGGGCGCAAGCCUGAUGCAGCGACGCCGCGUGGGGGAUGACGGCCUUCGGGUUGUAAACUCCUUUCGCUAGGGACGAAGCUUUUUGUGACGGUACCUAGAGAAGAAGCACCGGCUAACUACGUG
RNAcentral lists this ribosomal RNA (465 nucleotides) under uncultured bacterium. RNAcentral's name for it is "partial 16S ribosomal RNA". It matches the Rfam family "Bacterial small subunit ribosomal RNA", at positions 28 to 507 of the family's 1533-position model. The record is from RNAcentral.